RNAcentral lists this ribosomal RNA (492 nucleotides) under uncultured bacterium. Its description in RNAcentral is "partial 16S ribosomal RNA". It matches the Rfam family "Bacterial small subunit ribosomal RNA", at positions 29 to 507 of the family's 1533-position model. The record is from RNAcentral.
AGUGAACGCUGGCGGUAGGCCUAACACAUGCAAGUCGAACGGCAGCACAGUAAGAGCUUGCUCUUACGGGUGGCGAGUGGCGGACGGGUGAGGAAUACAUCGGAAUCUACUUUUUCGUGGGGGAUAACGUAGGGAAACUUACGCUAAUACCGCAUACGACCUACGGGUGAAAGCAGGGGAUCUUCGGACCUUGCGCGAUUGAAUAAGCCGAUGUCGGAUUAGCUAGUUGGCGGGGUAAAGGCCCACCAAGGCGACGAUCCGCAGCUGGUCUGAGAGGAUGAUCAGCCACACUGGAACUGAGACACGGUCCAGACUCCUACGGGAGGCAGCAGUGGGGAAUAUUGGACAAUGGGCGCAAGCCUGAUCCAGCCAUACCGCGUGGGUGAAGAAGGCCUUCGGGUUGUAAAGCCCUUUUGUUGGGAAAGAAAAGCAGCAGGUUAAUACCCCGCUGUUCUGACGGUACCCAAAGAAUAAGCACCGGCUAACUUCGUG